Molecule: ribosomal RNA, 468 nt
Filed under: uncultured bacterium
Lineage: Bacteria
Description: partial 16S ribosomal RNA
Rfam family: Bacterial small subunit ribosomal RNA
Source: RNAcentral
GACGAACGCUGGCGGCGUGCUUAACACAUGCAAGUCGAACGGAAAGGCCCUGCUUUUGUGGGGUGCUCGAGUGGCGAACGGGUGAGUAACACGUGAGUAACCUGCCCUUGACUUUGGGAUAACUUCAGGAAACUGGGGCUAAUACCGGAUAGGAGCUCCUGCUGCAUGGUGGGGGUUGGAAAGUUUCGGCGGUGGGGGAUGGGCCCGCGGUUUAUCAGUUUGUUGGUGGGGUAGGGGCUUACCAAGGCUUUGACGGGUAGCCGGCCUGGGGGGGUGACCGGCCACAUUGGGACUGAGAUACGGCCCAGACGCCUACGGGAGGCAGCAGUGGGGAAUAUUGCACAAUGGGCGGAAGCCUGAUGCAGCAACGCCGCGUGCGGGAUGACGGCCUUCGGGUUGUAAACCGCUUUCGCCUGUGACGAAGCGUGAGUGACGGUAAUGGGUAAAGAAGCACCGGCUAACUACGUG